Molecule: ribosomal RNA, 253 nt
Filed under: uncultured bacterium
Lineage: Bacteria
Description: partial 16S ribosomal RNA
Rfam family: Bacterial small subunit ribosomal RNA
Source: RNAcentral
UACGGAGGGGGCUAGCGUUGUUCGGAAUUACUGGGCGUAAAGCGCACGUAGGUGGCUUUGUAAGUUAGAGGUGAAAGCCCGGGGCUCAACUCCGGAAUUGCCUUUAAGACUGCAUCGCUAGAACGUCGGAGAGGUAAGUGGAAUUCCGAGUGUAGAGGUGAAAUUCGUAGAUAUUCGGAAGAACACCAGUGGCGAAGGCGACUUACUGGACGACUGUUGACACUGAGGUGCGAAAGCGUGGGGAGCGAACAGG